UACAGAGGGUGCGAGCGUUAAUCGGAAUUACUGGGCGUAAAGCGUGCGCAGGCGGUUUUGGAAGUCUGACGUGAAAUCCCCGGGCUCAACCUGGGAAUUGCGUUGGAGACUGCAAGGCUGGAGUCUGGCAGAGGGGGGUAGAAUUCCACGUGUAGCAGUGAAAUGCGUAGAGAUGUGGAGGAACACCGAUGGCGAAGGCAGCCCCCUGGGUCAAGACUGACGCUCAUGCACGAAAGCGUGGGGAGCAAACAGG
This 253-nucleotide ribosomal RNA is filed under the name uncultured bacterium. RNAcentral describes it as "partial 16S ribosomal RNA". It matches the Rfam family "Bacterial small subunit ribosomal RNA", at positions 524 to 776 of the family's 1533-position model. The record is from RNAcentral.